Gallus gallus (chicken) is the source of this 20072-nucleotide long non-coding RNA. Lineage: Eukaryota; Metazoa; Chordata; Aves; Galliformes; Phasianidae. The record is from Ensembl.
CUCUAGUGAAAGUCCAUUUUUCCUGCUCCUUUUUGUUAAUCACAGGAUUCCAUUAUACUGACAAUAAUCUACAGUUAUUCGUAUCUGAACACUGAUCCCCAGUGAAGCCGGGAUGGAGUUAAAAUGCUUGGAAUUUGUUCUCUAUAGUGCUGCUUUUCAUGUUGAGCAAAAAUACAGCACUUAUAAUUUGUUCCCCUGUAGUAUUUGUCAUCUUUUUACCGCUCUCUUAAGAGUGUAAUUCCUGCCCAAUAUUUUCUUUUUAAACUACCUCUCAUUUAAAUACACGCUUUGUGUUUUCUUAAAAUAAACGCUGUCAUGCAGCUCUUCUACUUCCUUUAUUGAGAAAACAGUAAUACUCAUACGAUUGUGGAAAAAAAGUUGAGAGGGAGGGAGAGACAGGGAAAGGAAGCAGAAAUCAUAACCAAAAAGUUCACACUGAUUAUUGAAAUAGUCAGUGCUCCCUUGGGCUGUGGGGAAGGGAAAGGCACUUUUACAGUGUUUUGGAACAUUUUUCUUCCUCGGGAUUCUGACUUUUCACCACAUAUUUAUGCUACGUUGAGAGAGGAGAAGAAAAGAAAAAGAACUCAAAGGUUUUACAGUUUCGAAGCAAAUAAAGGGGAGAUGCUGUUGUGGCUGCAGAGGUGAGCUAUGGACAGCUGGUGGAAGAGAAUCAGGCCCCAUGGUAAAGAGGGAAAGGACGGAGCAGCUCUCUUGUCUGCCAGAAGAUGAACAUUGCAGUGGGCAUACCAUGGGGCCAGACCACCAGCAGAGCAUUAAACAAGGACAGAUGUGAAUGCCAGGAUAAAAAUGAAGACAUUCCUGAAGUGCUUACUGAAGCUGUUGAUGAUAGUAUUUCAGAACUUACAAGUUUUCCUGACCCAGCUUUGAGCAGUUUACAGUGUCAUCAUAUUUUCCAUCUGAAAAUCUAGGCAGAAGAGCAUGUUUACAAUAGUUCCGUUAGAAAUAGCUUGAGAAAGUCUUCAGUGGGAGAAACCCAAAAGUAAGUGGGAAAUGAGUUUCUGGCUUGUACUGUUUAAUAUUUUUCCUAUUCUCAUAUUUGAAGAUCUGUUUCAAACCCUCGCUGGCAAUUAAGAUGCUGAUGUCCAAUAGAUGAACCGACUAAACGCAAAAGUUUUACUCAAAUUCUGCUGAACUUUGGAAUGAUAAGGAAAAAAGAAAAAAAGAAUUGAAAGUGAAGUCCAUAUUCAUCCCAUACUUGGGAAAACAACCAAAAUAAAACCUUGCUGUAAACUUUUCUAACAUUUGGAGUGCUUGAAAUAUGUAUCUUAAUUUGAGUCUGCAGUCAAUAUCUGGGCAAAAGAGGAAAUCUGUUGCAUCAUAAAAUUCAUAAAAGUGAUAGUAUAAGCUUGAAACAACUUAUUCAGGAGAAAAUGGUUUGCAAAAGAGGCACAAGUGAAAACAUUUAGAUUUGGCUGAAGUAGAUACAAGCUUGAUCAUUAUAUGUAUACCAUGCAAGUAAAUAGCUUGUGGGUGCGUCUAAAGCCAAUGUGAACCUUUAUGUGGAAAGCAUUGACUAUGUGGGUAUGGAAAAUAGCCCACUUAAACUAUAAUUAUACUGAAUAUGUGCAAAUAAAACCCAAAUAAAGCACCCAAGUAGAAAGCAUAUUUCUUUAACAUUUCUGUGGAUAUGUUCUAUGUUAUUCUCAUGGUUUUAGGGCAGUCGGAAUUAUACUGUAUUCAUAUUAAUAACUUGGAAGUAAACAGUAUACAAAAUAUCUUCUUAAAAUAUACAUUAAAAAAUUACAGUGGAAGAAAAAACAUGUGUAACCAAAGUUAGAUUGGAUCUAAGAGACUGUUACAAUUUCUUGAUUUAGUUUGCUGAGUAGGAGGCUCUGCUGGAAUUACCGACUCUUAAAUAAGUCAGCAAGAUAUUAUUUGAAAGACACUGGUUCAUCAAGAAGUAGUUUCAUUUCACUUAUGACUUUUUGGAAUGGCAUUGCAAUCAAUCAGCUAAGUUUCUGAGCAGUGGCCACUUGGAGUAAUAUGGCUGAAGUCAAGACGUAACUGUGUUUUGAGUGGUUGCAUUCUUGCUUCUCUCUCCUCACAUUCCUCCUGUUGCCAGUGCUUCCAUGGCAGGACAAAAUGAGACCUGGUGGAGUACAUUCUGUCAUGGCUCUGCUCUUAGUGUCUCCUGUGCUGUGGGAAUUCACAUCUGUGGAUAUGGAAGCUUCUAGCUGUCAUACAUAGUAGCCUGAAGGGACAGAAUGAAUUUGUUUGUUAGCUCUAGUAGUGUCAGGGCCUUGCUAGAAUUUACAUGAGCCUCAUCUAAUGAACUUGGUGCAAAAUUGUUGUGUAAUGGAUCAGACCUCUCAGAUGGACUUUGGAGCUGUGAUUUUCCAGGUGAUGCAUGUCUCACAUUGGAUACACACAGACUUAAAGAAAUAACGUUCUUGUGUUAACUGCAGCUCAACACUGUCAGUCACCAGUUUUAUUCUCUUUCUGCAACAAAACAAUGAUGCACUUGAAUGAUAAAAAAGGUUGACAGUGUGUCUGAGCCUGCUCUCUGUUGAGUGUGAUGACAUCUCUACCAGAACUACAUUUUCCCUUUAUGCUUUCAAAAUCUCCUUGUCUUAAUCCGUAACUUAAAAAAAUAUUUAGCACCACAUAGUGUCUAAGGAUGAACAGUACAGAUGUUUCACACUAGUAUCUAUUUGUUCUAUUUACGUUUUGUAUCAUCAGGUUAACAAAACAGCUUAAAUUGUUUACCAAGAACAAAUUCCGCAUUGGAAUCUUUGAAGUCCGGGUGUCUUCCUUAGACAAGCUCUAUGGGAACCAUUAGGUCAUGGCCUGAAGCAGUUAUUGAGCACCUCGUGAAGGGGCAUAGCCAGCCCUAGGAGCACAGGUGGAAGCAAUUCACCUGUGUGACUAGGAGGGGCGGACCCUUACCUAAUAUAAGGGCUGGCAGCCACAAGAAAAGCAUCUCUAUCUAGAGAUUACCUCCUUAGUAGUGUUUGUUGAGCUCUGGUCCUUGGAAAGGGGUAAGUGUUUCCUUCUUUACCAUCAGUUUGUGACCUUUACCUUUCUUGGAUAAUUUAAAACUUAUCUAAAGCAGCUAUAUCUGCUGUUGCCUAUCCUUACAUAAGCAUAUGGGUGGUACCUUUUCAGAGAACUGCCAAAAUGAAGGCUGGGUAAAAUUUUCUGGCCUGUCCUAAUUCAUAAGUAAAGCUAAGACUCUCCCUAAUAUUCUUUUCCUUUAGCAAUGUUUCUUAUGUUCAUCACAAAGCAAAAUGUGGGAAUCAGUGAGAAAUGAAAAAAAAAAGAAGAACUUAAAUAUGAAUUCAUGAAAAUAAUAGCUCAUAAGAAGAACCUAAAAACUCUGAGUGAGGAUGGCUGGAGCAUGACAGAAACCAGUGAGAUGUGCACAGGAGGUCAGAAAUGCAAAGCAGGUAGCUUUUAUGUUAGCUUUGUAAAUGGAGGGUGGAAAUGGUGAUCACAGUUGUAGGAGGAAAGAAUGUUUUUUUUUUUUUUUCAUUUAUUGUACUUUCUUCCUUCAAGAUAUAGAAAACAAGUGCUUAGGAGAAAAAAAAUGAAAUGUAGUUGUAACAAAAUGAUUAGGCAAGAAGGGUACUGAAUUCAGUGCAGGGAACUCCAUUCAAUUCUUUGAAGUUAUGCAGACGUCGGGUAACAGUGGUGAAUCAAACCCAAGCAGUGGUGGCUUUGUCAAUGUUGCAGUAUAACAUUUUUGUGUAUUUGGUACUGAUUCCAGAUGGCAAUUAGAUUUUGGAGCAGAGUAAGGGGGCUUCUGCUGGUCCAGCAGAAUCCACCUGAAGGAUUUUAGUGGGAACUUAAUUUUUUUUUUAAUGAACUAAGUAUGAAUUCUGGCAGCUAGAGCAACAUACCCAUAUUCUUUGCUAGUAUAAAUUGGCAAAGCUCUGAUUGAGCUAUAGCAACUCAUACCAUCUGAGAUUCUGACCAAUUAUAGUAGAUUUAUACAACAGCCACCUCAUUGUGCCAAAGACUUCAGUAUCUCAGAGGUGGUAAUACUGUUGGCAGACUCAUGGACAAGAAAAAUGAGGAAGUGAAACUGCAACUUGCAAUAAGGAAUUAUCCCAAAGGUCAGUUUUUGGAAGCAAAAGAAAUUCUUCCUUUUGGAAGGAGGUAUAAGGCAUGGCCUGUAAAAAGACCUCUUCAUCUGAACUACCUAAUUUGUUUUUGGUCUUUUUUCAAAGGCAAAAAUGCUAGUGUAAAAACUGGUAUCUUCUGUCUCUUUUGAUAUACCUUUCAUUAGUAGGAUAAGAAUGCUAUAUAUAUAGCUAUAGUAUAGUAGUGUAUUAAGCCAAUGUCUUGUGGUUCUUACCUUCUUGUUCUCCCUAGUAAGCUGUACACAGAUUUGCAGAAAGAGACUUCAAAUUUUAUUAUAUGUUUAGGGGAGAAACAAGGUUGGUGUUGGUUGUUUGUUGUUUUGGGUUUUGGUACUUGGAAGAGGAGUUGAAGAGGUGUACAGGACUUCCUGGUGUCACAGUCAUUCCUUUGAAUCUUCUGCCCAAAAAAAACCUGUCUCCUACUGGUAGUUUAGGUCUUCUGUAGCUUCUUUUGGAUAGUCAAAAAAAAAAAAAAAACUUUAAAGAAGAUGAAGGUCCAGAUGGGGAGGAAAUUUUUCAAGAUGCGUGAGAUAAGAAAGCCAUUAUGAAAACAAUCAGCUUUACAAGGAGUGUCCUAAAAGUUGGCUUCUGCCAGGCCCAAUUGCACAAAUGUGAUGGUUUUACAGACAAUAUCAUUACUGAAACUACUAGAACCAGGUGAGUAGGUAAUGCAUAAAUGAAACAGCCUUGGGACCCUAUUGCCAUUCUGGGUGCCUAAGUUCUCAGUACUUGGGAAUCUACAGUUGCCUCUGCAAUGAGUCCUCCUCUACCAUGAGAAUGGCCAGGAAUGGUACAGGUCUUGAUGGCACAAAAAUGUUUGGUACUUCUGUCAUCCCUAAGCAUCUUUAGUACUUGUAAUACCAAAUACAGGUUACUCCUACUUGAAGGAUAUUUUCAAAUAGGUAUCUUAAUACAUUCAUGCUAAAACUGUACAGUUAUUUCACCUGAAAAACAGUGGACUGAGAAUUCAGAUCUAUUCUCUGGUACUGUGAAUCUGUGUUGCAGAGAGGUUUCUUAACUACUAGGCAAGAGGGUAUUCUGGGAUUCAAGUCUCACACCAUCAACAUUUUUCACUUUACCAGCAAAAACAUUAAUGCAGACAUGUAUUCAAAGUACCUGAGCUGUGAGAAAUUAUUUAAUAACUUCUGUUGCACAAGCAGCAAAAAAUAUUCCUAAACAAACAAAAUCUAGGCUGUGCCCUGAGAUGUGCUCUCAGUUUCACAGUAUCCUGGGGCAACAUGUUCUGCGGGUUCACUGUGUGCUGCACAUUCAUUAUUUAAGUAUAGCUGUGAUAUAUACGGUCCUUCUGUAAUAAGAUGAAAUGAGCAAAAGGAUCUUGAACCUUAUGCUCACAUUGACAGCCUCCUACGCCCUGACAAUGCAUGGUAAUUAAGACUGAAGGUUUAAGCUUUUUCAUGGACUUGCAUAAGCAUUUUCCACUUUGUUUUCUAUUCCUUUAUUUAUAACUGCAAAGAUUCUCCUCAUUUCUCUACUGCUGUUGAGUACUCAGCUGACACUUUCAUUGAACUAGCCAUAAGAGCUACUAGAUCUUCUUGAGCAGUAGUAGCUGAUCUAGAAAUCAGAACUAAGUGAGAGCAGUUAGGGUUCCUUCCCCCAUGCACAUAACUUAGUAUUUGUCUUUCAUAAGCAGUCUUAUGGUGUACCAUGACGAUCAACCCUACAAAUUCUCUGGCAGAACUUCUGUAUCUAACACUAGCGUGUUUGGAAAAGAAAGAUUUUAUUACUACUUUUUUAUGUCUGUGGUGUGUUGUUCCUUAUGAUCUUUUUGGCCUGCUGUAAUAUGAGUUACCAUUUGAAAUGCUGAAGUUUAUGAUCUUUUCUAUUUUCCUCAUUGUUCCACAUAAGCUCCGCUGUUUGAGGGAUUUCUUUUUACCCCAAUUAGCUGUCUUUACUGUAUCAUAUAGUCAUGCUGCCUUUUUUGUGUGGUCCUUUAAUUCUUGGUUUCUGAGGGAUUUCUUUUGGAUACAUAAUAUAUGAUUAUUCUGAGACUUUAAUAACAUGUACAUACAUUAUAUCUGCAAUUUUUAUUUUUUUGGGUUGCUUCUUUUAAAUUCCGUUUUAACAAGAUUUCUCAUUUUUAUGUACUUCCCCUUUCUGAAGUUACAAUUUUGGCUUCUCACUCCUAUAGGAAUGUAGAUUUUAAGUGCUUUAUGGUCAGUCUUGAAGAGUGAAUGUUCAUUUUGAAGCAGGUCCCAUGCAUCAUUUAGGUCUAAAUAAAAAAAAAAAAUUGCUUCUCCCCCUUAUGGAUUAGCCUGCCAUUUGUUCCAGGAAGCAGUCAUUUAUGGUAUCUUAAACUUUAGUCUUCUGCCACAGACCUAGCUGUGCAUUUAUCCUAUAAGUAUACCUGAAAUGUUUUUGAAGGGCUUUCUGAGGAAACAGUGUACAGUAAGUGUGGCUCAGUGAAGCCACAUGGAGAGUGCUGUAUGAAGUUUUCCCUUGUGCAUGUUCUGUCUUCAUCAGGCUGCUGCAGUAGCCAUAUUCCUUUCCAAAGACAUGGGCUUUCAAAACCCUUAUCACUUGAUUUCAGUAAAAUGGAAUAGUCCAGUAGCAAUAUGUGAAUUGCUGAAUUAACAACACUCGUAGGAGUCUUAGAAACCAAAGGUAAGCUCAGAUGUCUUGGCUCAAGCUGUUUGCUUGGUGUUAUCUAACUCUUUAACUCUGCUUUGGAACUUUCAGCUUCCUGUAAAUACAAUUAUAUAUGUGUAUAUAGAUUAUAAAAGUGUGCAUGUGCUUAUAGGUGUGUGGUGUGUGUGUACAUAUAUAUCUAUACGUGUGUGUGUGUAUAUAUAUAUGUAUAUAUAAUAUAAUUUCAACACAAACUCUUCCUCCUAGUAACUCCUUUCUCCACAGCUCAGCUCCUGGAGACCCUAGGAAGGGUUUUUGGUGGAUGGCACAGCCAUUGGCCAACCUGCUCAGCUACAGCUGGGAGGUGAGGGACCACUGGUUUUGACGUCAAGUUGGCUAACCUUUAUGGUGCUGUGACUCAGCCAAUUGAAAACCAUCAAUGGCUUUGCCUAAAUUAAAAAGUAAACCAGAUAUUUUCUAUAUGUGUAGCUGGUCAACACAUCUGUACAGAUAAGAGCUCUUUUUUUCCCAGAAAAAUUAUACACCCAAAUUGCAUUUGAGGACUGGCCCUUAGCCGACAAGAUGCCCAAGGACCAGUUAUUUUUUGGCAGGAGCUCCUCCCUACUCAGUCAAUAUGUAGGUUCACUGGCAGAAGCUAGCCUUGAAACAUGUAACUUGCAAGGACUGAACAUGAGCAUGCGGUAGUUCUCUACUUGCAGUUUACACAGAAGUCUAUUCACUGUCCUGGCCUGUAAGCCAAUGGUUGGUGUCUGUUAACAAAUAAUGCCUGAGCCUCUGUGGGCUGUUUCACAUGCUGUAUAUAUGCAAUCUGUGUAUGUAUGUACCUCAUGCACUGUUUCCUGAAUUAACCCACACUAUUCUCAGAUUUCCAGGACUUUGGAGGUGAGCCUAUGAAGUACUUGAGGUAAAGAGUUCCUUUACUACCUUAAAUGGAUGAAUGUUUUCCUAACAAACAUACUAAUCAAAAUCAAAAGAAUAGUGUGUUUUAUCUUCUCUUACACUAUUCUUAUACUAAAUUUAUGACUAUGAUAUUGUGGGAAAGAAUGUUUGUAUAACAUGAUAUAGAGCAGACAUCACACAAACUAGUCUAAGCAAAACCACAGUGAUAACGUAUUACUGUUAGCAUAAAUAAGUAGUGAUUAUUAAUUUUAGCCCUAAGCAGUCAAUAUGCAUGUUCUUUGAGUGUGCUUCACUGAGAGCAGUUUUUUGAUACACAAAAAUAUUAAAUUUGCGAAUUGUUUAGAAUUAUUGCUUAGAAACUACUGCCAAAUUGCAAUUAAGCAGUUGUAAGAACACGGCAUAUCCAACUGAGCACCUGCAAAACAACAACAAAAGAUGAAAGUUUUCUGUUUUGGAUAUGUUUGAAGCUGUAGGGGUACCAGUUCUGUAUAAACUCUCCUGUAUGAAAUGACUAUAAUGGAUAACGCACUGCUUGAACAGAGCUUUUCUAAAACUUGUAUACUCCUAAGAGUAGAGAAUCAGACCUGGGGAUCUAACUUUUUUUUUCUAUAGCAGCCCCAAUCUAACUAGUGGUAUAGAACUGUGAGCUCAUGGUUUCUUAGCAGUGACUUUGGAUUUCUGUGCUGAAAUAAGCCUUGAAACAGGCUGUGUAAUUUUUUUUUAAUGGGAAUUAUAGAUACUACAGGUCCAAGGGACAAUAGCUUCCAGCAUAGGCAUAAUUUGAAAACUGGUAGAUGAGUUUGUUUGGAAUUCAUAGUUUCAUUUCACUUGAUCUGCUCAUACAUACACACCAAAAUGUCUAGUGAAGUUUAGAGACUUAAACUGUACUAAAGAUAUAGAAAACUAUCUGAAAACUAUCAAAAUUAUAUAUAAUAAGCAGAGAAACAUUUUCUACUAUACCAUGUACCUUGGAACAAAGUAUUUAAAAAAACCAUAAAAAUAGAACUUCAGUGGGUUGCCAUGUAAAACAUAUUUAUCUGGUAUUCAUACUAUCACAUCCUAUUUAAAUGACUGUCAGGACUUAUAUAUGGGUGAAAUUAUUGGUAACUUGAUUGUUAUUUAACAACUGAGUGAGUCAUAACAAUCAAACUUUAUUAUUUUGUCACUUUAAAGCACAAAUCCUGCUUAUUACAAUUAAAAUGCAGAUAAUUUUCCUGAGGUAUGUGCCAACAUAUGGGUAUUAGUUACAUCCCAGUUGAUUCCAUCCGAGUUAGGAUUCCAUUAAGAGUGACACUUACAUCUGAUGCUCAUGUUUACUUCCCAGUCACAGUCCUCAGUGUUCAGAUGAGAAUUAACACAGGUAGAAAAACUGACUAGCAAAAACAGUUGCCUGUGACUGUGCUUUACUUUCAGGUCAGCAUCCAACUCGCAGAUCCUCUUUGCUGCAUUUGUGCACUAAGAGGAAACUGGUCAUCAGGCUUAAAGUUUACCCUCACAGACAGAGGUCUGAACACCAGAAACAUGCAAGAAGCCAGUGGUAGGAGUCAGAAUGUGAGCACCCUGAAACACUGGAUCCUGCUCCUAGAUGGUCCACAAGUGAGCAGAGCAUCAGCACAUAUGGUUGGAGCACUUGCAUUUUCUUUAUGAAAACAGUGUGUUGUCCACUGACUUCUACACAUCCUUCAGUGGGAUUUUCAAGGGCUCUGAGGAGUGAGCAGGCUCCACAUCUCGCUAAUGUGAGCAGAAGAACAUGCCAGGAGACAUACAAGUGUCAUUCUUUGCACCAUCUUAACAUCUGCGGCACUCACUGAGCCAAGAGUUGUGUGCGUUGCAGCAGAAGACUGAAUUGUGGUCUGCCAGUGGUGCAGUAUCUCUGGCUUAGGCACACUCAGUUGCAAAAACUAGCAAUGUUCAAGCUGUUUGACUUUGGCAUAGCAUUAACAAAGAUAGAGAUGCCAAUAGCUGUAGAGAAAGGGGUGAGAAUUAUGAUUUAGGUCAGUAAAAUAAACACUGUUACCGUGGCAGGCUAAUCUCAUCCAAGAAACUCUUUGCUUGUUAUUUUUGUAACUAUCGGAAAAAAUGCCAGCAGUUCUGUCUACAGAGCUCACAGUCCACUUCUUUUCUGAAGUCACUCAGCAAAAGGAGAGAGAGGACAUUCCCUCACAUCAUUUGAAUAACUUUAUUUUUUCCAUCUGUAAUCUUUUCCUCUUCAGUAGAAAUGAGGGUGGUUCCAAUGCCUCCCUGAAGGUAUGGUAUCUUCUUGCGAAGCUCCCUGAGAACCAGGAACAAGGAGCUGUCACAGCAGCAAGGUUAGCAUCAGCACCAGAAUAGCAGAGCUGGGUCAUUAGAGAUCUGUGUAGAAAUCUGUAAUCCCUAAGGAGUACUGAGCAUCCUGAGCUUCUGAUUCACCCUUUGCAGGAUUAGUCUGAUAAUAUUUUUAAUGGGUAUCCAUUCUAUUGCAAUGUAUAGGAGUGCAGUGACCCUGAAAUGUCACCAUCUAACAUUACAUUAAUUCACUCCUAAUGAAACUAAAGAGGGCUUAGAGAGGUUUGUGACCAAAGGCUGUUCGCUAGAAUUGCACCUUUCAUUAACUGACUUUGGAAAGAUGAAAAAUGAACAUUCUGAAAUAUUUUGAUAUUGGAUACACUGACUUUUUUUUUGAGGGCAGUAAAUCCCUCUGGUUCAGACCCUAAACAGGGGCUUCUGAUGAUUAGGGUAUAAAAUGAACUGUGAAAUCCUAUAUGCCUAAUAUCCCUUCCUAAUGCAAAUCAAAUUUGCUACUCUGCCAAGUAGUUUGAUCCUGUAGAGCAUGGAAACAAGGUAGUAUGCAAGCAAGAUCUUACAUUCAAAAGAUGAAAUGUUGGCAGUUCUUCAGAAUGACCCUUUAAUGCUGGACACCCAUGUAUAAAGAUGAAUAAUACAAAAUCAAAGCUUACAAUAGUCUCAUUGUGCUCAAAGGGCAAAAGGAAAAUGUAUCAGUCAUCAGGAUGUGCCAAAGAGUAGGACUAAGAUGCACCUUUUAUUUUUGGACUGACUUUUAGAUACAAGUCUUGGCUAAAACUUGGACGUCCAAAUCUUGGAGUGAAGGAACUUAUCACAGAAAACUACCACCACAAUAUGCCAGGUAGUCUAUAACAGGAGCAGUCUCUAGGAGAUAAAAAAACAUCUUUUUUUUUUUUGGAGAGGUACUGAAGUUCUACUUAUGGGCAUUUACAUAACUCAUGUACUCCCUAUGCAUAGUUAGUGAGUGGAACCAUCUUCCUGCAGCUCUACUCUACUACUUAGUUAUCUACAGGGGAAAGAAAAAAAGAAAAAAGCUCAGUACAAUAUGAAGUUAUUACUGAAUGUGUUUCUUAGCAUGUAAAAAAUAUUGAAUUAACAUUAAAACCCUUUUACCCACUUUGUAAUAUUUGUAUGUAAAUUGUUACAAGUGCAUGAUAUGUUAAAUCCAUAAUUGUCAUAUUUUGCUGAAGACUGCGUAGAAUCAGUGAGGAUUUUCUUUUGUCUAAUAUUGGAGAGGUGGUUCAUGUUGGUGACAUGAAGAAAAUAUAAAAAAGCAGUUUAUCCAUGUAAACAUAUAGCCCUCAGACUCUUGCCAAGGACAGCAAGACCUAUUUUUAUCUGGUGAAUGAGUCCUGGUCCCAUAUGCUAAGAGUUGCUUUGGGAAGCUAUACGUUACAUAUCUAACUUCUCCUAAUUAAAUUUAAAUGCUACCUGAAAUUUGAUGCAAAGUAAACCAUAAUUUAGUGAUUAAAACUUUGGUAUACUGACUGGUUAUGACAACCAGAAAGGACUGCUAAGAGAUUAGGAAAAAGGGGGAGGGGAUAGAGUUUAAUCAGAACAAACACUAGCAAGAAACACAAUUUUAAUGGUUUUACAAAAUCAAUUUUCCAGUAAUAGUGAUAUGUUAUUUCAAAAUUAUUUUAAAGGAUGGGAGAAAGUUUAACCAUGUGACUUUAUCUUUUUCAGUGGUCUUUCUUAUUUGAUAUUGCAGGGAUUGGAUUUCACUGGGACACAUCCCAUUUCCACUGUAAUUUGUAAACUAAUGUUUCGUUUCUUCAGAAGGUAUGUUCCCAAACAAGUGCUUGCCAGCGUUAAGAAGUUGCCUCUUGUCCAAUUGUUUUCCAAUUGUUUGAUGGUAUUAAUGGGAGCAAAAAGAACAUUCAAGAUACCUUCUUGGUACUUCUCUGUAUUUGGGGUAGUUGCUAAGAGAAUGCCCUCACAGCUGAGAGAAAAAUCUAUUUGCAUCCCAUUCUGAAUGGCAGGGUUGUAACUUGGAGAGGUGGCCCAGAGUUAGAAAAUACUCAUCAUGAUACUGCCCAUAUUCAUGAGCAGAGGUGAACAACUACUUUUUAAGCACACCUAAAAAUAAACCUUGCUUUCUGACAAAGACAGUCAUUGAUUGCUCCAUGAGCUGAAAAAGGUUUUUUGAGUGACUCCUUGCUUCAUUUCUACUCGGCUGUAAAUUGGAUUUGCUCGUUGAUUUUCUUUUCUUUUUUGUUGUUUAUUUAUUUUGUGGGGUUUUUUUGGUUGUUUAGUUUUGUAAAGGGGAAGUAUGGGAGAAAAUGUAUGUUUGGCCUGUAUGUCUCAGCUGAUGUGUAAUCUCCAUUAGCUGUUUUUGCUGGGAUGGAGCUUUGGCACAAAGGGCGUAACCUCAUGGACUCUGCUUAUGCCUAGUCAUUCCAGGACCAGUUGACUGCCAGUUUUCCAAAAGAAAUGAGGAAAUAGUUGUCUAUAAAUACAUUCCUCCUUUAUUUUGUGAGUUAUUUACAAACCUGACUUAUUUUCUUAGGUAUUUCUGCAAAAAUAUGAGACAACUCUUUGUCAGUAGGUUGUCUGUAAGUAAUCCACUGCUAGUGAUCCAAAAUUAAAAUUGACUAGGUAAGAGCAAUUCUCAGGAUAAUCUUUCUGAUAAAAAGUCCUUCAAGUUAGAAAUUUAGGAAACGAUCUCUGAUAAUAUCUUUCAAAAUUUGCUUAACAUAAGCAGAUUUUAUGAGCUGGCUUUUCUGAGAACACAAAUAGUUUGAACAGAAUCAUAGCAGAAGAGUUUAAAAUCAUGAGCAAGUAUUCAUAGAACACUUUUAUUUUUUCUUGGGGCAGUUGCCUGGUCUUGCUUUCCUAGGUGGUGGUUAACUGUCCAUCCUCACCAAGAAACAGUACUGGAAACCUGCUGAUUCUCUUUUCACAGUUCUUGGAUAUGCAAUUUCACACAUAGAAAAGAAAAAUUGUGUGAAAUGUUGUAACUGACAUUGUCAGUCAGCAGGAAACCUGAAAAGAGAUAUUGAGAUUGAGCUGUGAAAAGUGACAGUAGUGGAGCAGUACAUUUUUAUGUGAUAGAUAGAGCUGUAGGGCGCAGGUCAUUGCAGCUUGCAAGGGGCAAUCUUUGUGUUACUGAUAUCCCCAAGGCUGCAAAGGCUGAGUGCCAUGCUUGGAGAGCUGACGGGCAAUUUGCUAAUAUAGCAAUCUGAACACAAGAAGAACCAGCAUAAAUGGGAGGGGCAAAAAACCACACAGAGUAUAUGUAUUAUACAGAUGUAUUGUACCCUUUUUUGCUUAUUCAAGUAGCAUACAGUGGAUAUUUGAAAAAAAAAAAAAUGUUGUACACAAAUCUAGGAAGUCACAAAGAUUUUUAAAUUGGAAAGUUUUACUUCUGAAAACUAACACUGUCUUAUGUUAAAUCACUCUUGUUUGAUCAAUAGCACUGCACAAAUUCUACAUCUGCAUACUUUCUCAGGUUUUUUGCAUGCACUAGACAGUAACUGUUAAAAACUGAAAGGGCUAGAAAGUACCUUCUCCCAAGUACCUUCCCAUUUCAGGAGCAGCACUUAGAGAGCUUUUUGUUUCCUUUGUUGUUCUGUAGCUUUCUAAGUCUGAGGUAUGAGGUGUACCUUUCCUAAAUAUUUCUCUCUGAAUGUGUGACUCAAAGUUUGUAUAAAAAGAAAAUCAUAAUAAUGGUAACAGUGAAUAAAAAAUAAAAUCAUGUUCAGCUUUAAUGUGCAAUUCAAAUGAAAUCAUGUUGAUUUUGUUUGAUUUCUCUUUGCAUCUUUUCAUGUUUGAAAAGAUGUUCAUGUUUCACAUUUGAUAUAUGUCCCAUUUUGUCACCAUUAGAAUAAAAUAUUUUGAUUUUUUUCCUUUUCAAAUUAUUUUUCAUUUUGAAUAUUUUGAACUCUAGUAUGUAAUAGAUGAUUACAUUGCAAACACAUUAUGUUGCACUUAAAACUCGAGUCAGUGUGCAGUAUUCCUGCCAUUUUCCUUUACAAAGAAUUUAGAUAUUUUCUGAUUGGAAAUGAAGACAAAUUUGGAAACUUCAGGAACAGUUGGGGAAGGAAAAAAAAAAUUGUCUGUUUUACUGUCCAGACUUGUCUGGACCACUUCCACAGAUGGUGAUGCCAAGUGGUUCAUCAACCUCUUGCUCUGAAAGUAUUGUUUCUACACUGCACUUCAGUCUAUGACUUAUGUUAUUCCUGGCAUUGUGCACUUCAAUUUCUCCCAUGCUGAAUCUUUUAUAUUAGUAUAGAAUUAAGAUAAUAAGAAUAAUUGCUCCUUUUUAAUAACACUUCAUGUGUUUAUGAACAGUCAUAUGCACAAGGAUUAUUUUCCAAAUCAUUGCUCAUUUUUGUUGUUCUCUUCUGAGUUCUCCAAUUAGUAUGUAUUUCUUUUUUUAUUGUGGUGUUCGUAACAGCAUGCAGUGCUCCAACUGAGGCUUAUCAAGUGAAGUAGAGCAGAAUAAUUACUUCAUUUCUUUUAUGCGUGACAUUCUUAUUAAUGUGACUCAAUACAGAGCAUUUGCCUUGUUUUGCCACAGUGUUGCAUUGUUGAUUCGUAUUCAAAUAAUUAGUCACUGUAAAUCCACAUGCUGCUCUGCUGUGUAACUCUGUGCUCUAGGAUGGGAUAUCCCACAGCUGUCAACAGGAGCACCCAGGAGCUGCAGUGAGGGUGUUGGACACUGUACAAAAGAGGGGCAGGUAAAUGACUUUUCUUAACCAGACUGCUAAGCUCCAUACUCAUUUGUGAUUACUGGUUUACAGUAUUAUAAGUAUAUUCCAGUUGUAAGUGAUUUCAGACUGCUGUCUCCAGUGUAUAAUACCUCAUCAUUUGUCAUGUUCCUUUUUCAAAAAUGAGGAUUCGCCCAUUCUUUCCACUUACUUAUUCUCCAGAAGAUGUAGUAACUUUUUUUAUAAUGAAAACUACUUGUUUUUCUAAAAAUCUUUCUGAUAACUUCAGUGAGAUCUGUACACUUGGGGUUGUUUUGCUAUUUAAAGAUACUCAGAAAUAGAUCAGACUUACUCCCCCCCCCCCCCCCCAAAAAAAAAAAAUUGUCUAAAAAUUGAAUCUGUGAGUAGCAUAUCAAAUUUGGAUGCUUAUACCUAAAGGAUCUCCAUUUCUUCCUGCCUUCUCUUCUGAGAAGAGUUGAAGUACUUACAGUGCUGUUUGAACCCAGGACAUAGAGCUUGGAAAAAAAAUGCAAGCCAUUGUGUCAUAGAAUUUUUAUCUGGCAAUAUUACAAGCCAGAAUUUUCAAGCUGAUUUGAAGAAAAACAAGGUGAAAAGUCUAUUGGGUCACACUUGAAAAUGUUAAGUAUUUUAGAGUCGUUUCAAAAUCCUGGAAAUUAAGUACUUCACAUCUACAAAGUUAACUGGUUUACUAAGUAUAAUGUCAUUUAUACAGUUUGCAAAGUCUGAAUACACAUACAAUAGUAAGAAAACUGUACCAAAGCCAUGUUAAAAGAAUUUGAUGUGUGGCAGAUUUGAGUUAGUAGGUACAAUGUGUUCUAUGAUUGGAAAGAAAAAUGGCAGACACACUUUCAAUGUGUUAGAAAGUAGAUGAAGACUCCUCUGAGACCAUGAAUCCCAAUGGAAACACUGCUGAUCUAAAGAUCAUAGAAAGAUAGAACCAGGUCACAUGCUGAUGCAAAUGAGCAUAGUUUUCUUGACAUUGGUGGACCUACAGUGAUUGAUUCCAGAUGAAGUGAUGAGAUGAUUCGGAUGUGCUAUGCCCUCCUGAAAGGCUGUUGAGAGAUGCUGAGAUCAGUGCUGGGAUUGCCUCACCAGAGGAAAAUAUGCAGAGUAACAAUCUCUCCUUUAAAAAAAUGUGAGAAGGAAGAAAGUAAUAGUAUCUCUCCCAGUGUUGAUGGAAAAAGUAGGCUUUGGUGGAAAGAAAAAUAGUUCAGUAGUCAAGAUUUUGGAAGGAAGGCAGUAAAGACUUUUCCUAAGGAAAAGAGAGCACCAGAAAGCUUUAGAUGUUCCCUGUUCUCACCAUCUUCAGAACAGCUCUGUGUGUAUUUACCCUUACUCUUCUUUAGGUGGUCACUGAGGUUUGACUCAUUGAGUACUCCAGUGUGUUGGCCUGGGAGCAGGAGAAAGGAUGGAGGAUCUAAAGGCAUCCUGGUUACAGCAGCAGCAUGACUGAAUCAGCUUUAAUGACUGGCUGAAGCUAGCACUGUAUCUAUGCAUCCAGCGUGGGCUGCAACAAGAGUGACAAUUCAGGCAGAAGCUGGUUUGGGCUGAGUUUUAUGGUGUUGUGGCUAGCAAAGUAGCUAAGCUAGCUCACCAAUGCUCUCCCAAGUUAUUUUUUGUCUUAACAAUACAGGUAGGCCCAAGCAUGAUACCCUUCAGUGGUUCAAGAACUAUCUAAAAUAUUUAAACAUUUUGAGAUGUUCUUCUUCUGGAAGUGAAAGUAAAAAGAAGACUGGCUCUGGAAGCCUCGCAACAUUUGAAGUAAAUCACUCCUUAUGGCAGUAUCAAAAUCCGAAGAUGCAGGGAUUUUGAAGACUUAUCUAUGGAUUCAAUAAAAUCUAAAAGCAGAUGUUUAGUAACGUAUUUUUCCUAGAUCAUCAGUAGCAGUAUUUAGAGGCAUUGCAGAGCUUUGACCAUUGAAUUCCUCAUAGCGAGCUGCAACCUGCUGUAAGUACUGUUCUUGCAUUUGUCUAUCAAAAGAGAAAAUAUAAGACUAUUUUCAUUUCAUACAAGACUAUUAAUAUUGAAACCAUUGACUAGUAGACUACUCAAUUAAGGAUAUAUUAACUAGGAUACUUUAUCUCACUCUUAUUUUCAAGAGUCAACAAUCCAAGUACAAGGAGACUAAUGACUAAAAAUUCAGCCUCUUCUGAACAACUGAUGGAGUUCUGUUCCUGAGCUACCUCCUCCUCGAUUCAUUCAGCAUGAAUGGCAGAUUCCUAUAUCGUGUCAAGUUUCAGAUCACCAUAGAAACAAACUAGGAGGCAGUUUCAUUAAUCAUUUAGAGCACAAGAAGUCUAGGUCAGUCUGAUUGCAGCAUAUAGAGUAUCAUCCUAGCGCCACAUGGGACUCAGUUGAUUUGAAUUAAAAAAGAUUAAGCUGCCCCUAGGACGCUCAGCAUCAUCAGUUUAAGUUCUCAUGUAACAGUGGUCUCUGGAGCCACAUGGAUUAGGAGACUGAAGCUAUGCAUUUAUUUUUCAGGGCUCAGUGAAACAUUAGAUGAGUGCAGGUGUCUGAGGGGAAAAAAGGACAAAGAUCACAUAUAGUUUUUUAGACUUGUUGCUGUUCUUUUGAAACUGGAAACAAUAACUCAGUUUUAUUUCUCCAGUGACAGUUACCACUCUUUUUUGGCAAUGCAGUGGUACAUCUGUUACCCAAUGUUUACAACUUAGAUUUAUAACAAUUUCAUACUAGGCACCCUAAUUUUAGUGCAGAGCUGCAAGUUGGGCAUAGAACAGUUUACAUGAAUGCUGACUAUUUUUUUCAUGAUGGAGUAAAAAAUGCACAAAAUAAAUACUGGUGACACUUUAGUUUUACUUGAAUGAAGAUUUAUUGCUCCCAGGAAACUUACUUACAGGCAGCUACAAAUCAACUUGACUAUGAAAUAGCUGUAUAUGUACACCACAAAAUGAGCCCCCCCCUCCCAAAGUACUCACCUUAUUUAUGGGUCUUUCCAGUACUUCAAAGACCUUUAGUAACUUAGUCCAGACUGGUUUAUUGCUUCUUAGAACUAAGACGUUUCAAGAGGAAAGUCGUAGGUUACAGUGUAUUAGGACUCUCUCUUGGGCGGCUGAGAAUCCCAUGAUGCUAUAUGAACUGUUGAUCUAAAGCUUAUUAUAGCCUCACUUCCUACAGUAUAAUUCUUAAAUCUUUUAAGUUAUACAGUGCUGUCUUUAAUCCUGAGCACUAAACCUUAAAGCAGAACUAGUUUUCUAAUAACCAGAGUACCAUCUGUGAGUAGAUAUAAUUAUGCUUUGUAAAAAUACAGUUCACUUGCUUGCACAGGUGGUCCACGACCUAUUUCAAAUUAUUUGAAUUUUCAAAAAAUGUUUUACAUAGAAAAAUCUGGGAGCGAAAUCCACUGUCCCAGUAUUCUUUGUGGAGGAAAAAAAUGUAUGUGGGUAGAUGUAUUCCACUUUACUCAAGAACCAGAACACCUCACCCUUUGUGUUUUUCCAAUUUGCCCUUUCUGUGCGAGUUAUCUGGGCUUUGAUAGUAUCAGUGUAUCAGUGGUGAAGUCUCCUGUUAUGUAACACAUCUAUGGACAUGGAAAUAUAGUAAAUACUUUUUUUUUUCCCCCCUGAUAUGUUGUCAUUUUUAAACGUGUUAUUCUAGGGAUUUCCGGGGAAGAAAUAACAUUAUGCUCUGGAAGUAUUUUUAGAUUUUUCUAGCACUGUGCAAACUGACUGAUUAUUCCCCUGGAAAGGGGAAAGUGAGUAUUAUCCCCACUUUGCACGAGCGGAAAUUGAUAUGGAGUCACACUAAGCAACUUGCCUCAGGCCAUGAAGGUAAACAGGGACCAACACUGUGGUGCUCCCAUUCUCCUGCCCCGUGCCCUGCCCAGGCCCUGCUAUUUACAGCUUGCUGUCAAAUGCCCUUAAGGAAAUGCAGAAUACAGGAAUUAAAGCAAACACAUAACAUUUUCUGCCUCCCAUCAGGGCUUUGUGUUAUCUAGUAUUUAUUGAGUGUCAGCAUUAUGCUGGUUGCUACACAAACAUAAAAGAAAGCGUGGUCCCUAUGCCAGAAUGUAUGUACGUUCUACUUUGUGUUGUCACCCAGAUGUUUCCAACCAGGCUGCCUAGCUUUGCUGUCCCUUUCUGGUGCAUGAGAGAGCUGAACUCACUAGUGCCAGGGGGGUAGCUGUGGCAGACAACCAGCAAUGGUGAGGGGGUCCAGGCUGUGCAUUUGCUGAGUUCCUGCAAACCACCUGGAUGAGUGACUGUCACCACACCCACAGGGAACUGGUCUUUGUAAAAAGAGCCAUGGGGCUGAAAAGCAGGGAAUGACUUCUUUGAGCUGAAUACAUGUCCUCACCCUCCUGGGGAGCAUGGGCAGACCUGUGAAGCCCCAUUUUUCUCCCAGGCUCCUUCCACCUGGAGGAGGAUGCAGUGAGUCUGCAAUGAUACACAAGUCCAUGUGGGAUCCCUGAUCUCUUCUGCUGCUCAAAGCCACAAGGGAGGAGAUAUCUUCUGCGUAGCCUGUUUCCAACAGGGAAGAUCUCCAAGAGUCCACUUCUGUGACAGAUCUGUGCAGUGGAAAGAACUAAGACAGUGAACAUGGAAGAACUGAGACAGUAUGGGAGCAGCUGCAAAGGGUAUCCAAGCUCAGCUAGGAGAAGGUAUGUGUGGCUGGCCAUGAGGGUGAAGAAAAUUCAGGCAACUUUCUUUUGGAAAGGACAAGCAAAGUCUCUCCAUGUCAGAAAUUUAGAGGUUUAUUCUGUAUGUUGCCUUGUGUUUCAUGUAAUAAAAUCCAGACCACAUACAGCACCAAAUCCUGCAGUUGUCAUUGUCUUAGAAGUCCUAUUCAAAGGUUAACUAACCACUAGGUGUUCCCCUGACAAAGAUAAAAUCUUUGUGUUCCAAACUUUCUGAAGAGUCUUUCAUUACAAUAAACAUCUCCUGCCCAGUAGCUGAGGCUUGUUGAGUAUAAAGAGCCUUUGUCAGGGAUGGAGCACAGCAGAGCUUCCUGAGGAUUUCUUUCCACUCUAAAACUGAGGUGGGUCUGUCCUCCCCACUCAUUUUAAUUUGUUCAUUUUUUCCUAGGAAACAAGUAUUGCUCUGGUUUUCAUUUUCCACAGGCUGCUUGAGUAUCUUGGAGUCUGGAGCUGAGGGGAAAGGAAAGGUUGUUAUCCUUAGUGGUGUUGCCUUUUAUCAUCAAUACUGGCUGCUAGUAUAGAAGAGUAGUAUACCAGCCAAGGGUAUAGCAGUCACUGCUACACAUGUAGACCAUGAGGACUGCUCAGCAACAGAGGCUGUGCAGGACUUGCGAUGUGUUCCCCACUUCUCUCUGAAAUACUUCAUAGUACAUCUGGAAUACAUGUUUUCACUUUUAAAAUCUGUCCUUUUACAAAUAAAAUAGUGUGGAAUCUGCCCAGAUAAUUCUCAUUGUAGCAGCACUAGUAUUGCUUCAUUGUUAAUCUCUUUUCAGCUGUGGCAAUUGUUACUCCUCUCCUCUCCUCUCCUCUCCUCUCCUCUCCUCUCCUCUCCUCUCCUCUCCUCUCCUCUCC